GAUGAAGAACGUAGCGAAAUGCGAUAAGUAGUGUGAAUUGCAGAAUUCAGUGAAUCAUCGAAUCUUUGAACGCACAUUGCGCCCCCUGGCAUUCCGGGGGGCAUGCCUGUCCGAGCGUCAUUUCUGCCCUCAAGCCCGGCUUGUGUGUUGGGCGUGGUCCCCCCGGUUUAGGGGGGACCUGCCCGAAAGGCAGCGGCGACGUUCCGCCUAGGUCCUCGAGCGUAUGGGGCUUUGUCACCCGCUCGGGAGGGGCCUACGGGCGUUGGCCAUCCACCAUUUAUUUUUUUUACGGUUGACCUCGGAUCAGGUAGGAGUUACCCGCUGAACUUAAGCAUAUCAAUAAGCGGAGGA
This 351-nucleotide unclassified non-coding RNA is filed under the name soil metagenome. Its description in RNAcentral is "partial contains 5.8S ribosomal RNA, internal transcribed spacer 2, and large subunit ribosomal RNA". The stretch from base 1 to 120 matches the Rfam family "5.8S ribosomal RNA", at positions 35 to 154 of the family's 154-position model. The record is from RNAcentral.